CAGCCGCCGCGGGAAUACGAAGGGUGCAAGCGUUAAUCGGAAUUACUGGGCGUAAAGCGUGCGUAGGCGGUGAGUUAAGUCUGCUGUGAAAUCCCCGGGCUCAACCUGGGAAUGGCAGUGGAUACUGGCUCGCUAGAGUGUGUCAGAGGAUGGUGGAAUUCCCGGUGUAGCGGUGAAAUGCGUAGAGAUCGGGAGGAACAUCAGUGGCGAAGGCGGCCAUCUGGGACAACACUGACGCUGAGGCACGAAAGCGUGGGGAGCAAACAGGAUUAGAUACCCCUGUAGUCCCUGUCUCUUAAUA
Molecule: ribosomal RNA, 301 nt
Filed under: uncultured bacterium
Lineage: Bacteria
Description: partial 16S ribosomal RNA
Rfam family: Bacterial small subunit ribosomal RNA
Source: RNAcentral